CACGAUGAUUAUCGUGAUGAGUGUCCACACAGAUUGAUUCGGUUUAGAUUUGAGCAUCAAGUGGGUCUGUAGCUCAGGUGGUUAGAGCGUACGCCUGAUAAGCGUAAGGUCGGUGGUUCGAGUCCACUCAGACCCACCACUAACGAUGGGGUUAUAGCUCAACUGGGAGAGCGCCUGCCUUGCACGCAGGAGGUCUGCGGUUCGAUCCCGCAUAACUCCACCAUCUUUAAGCGUUUUCGCUGAGAAUGUUUAAAAAUGGUUUUCAUCAAAAAAUCUUGCUCUUUAACAAUUUGGAAAGCUGACAAAACAACAAUUUAUUGUUGUUUGUAAAGUUCUCAAUGUUUAUCGAAAGAUAAACACCCCCACACAUUCCAGUGUGCUUGGUAUCGAAAAAACUUCCGUCUUGUUCAAUUUGAGUCCCGCAAAAUCUGUCUCGCACUCAUGUAAAUUAAACGCGAGACAACUUAGGUUGUUUAAACAACAACCCGAAACUCCUUCGGGUUGUAU
RNAcentral lists this transfer RNA (507 nucleotides) under Vibrio cholerae. Its description in RNAcentral is "partial 16S-23S ribosomal RNA intergenic spacer". The stretch from base 63 to 136 matches the Rfam family "tRNA". The record is from RNAcentral. Lineage: Bacteria; Pseudomonadati; Pseudomonadota; Gammaproteobacteria; Vibrionales; Vibrionaceae.